UGCCCUCAGCAAUGAGCACAGAGACUCCGUGGUGGUGGUGGCAGUGUUCUUAUAUCAGCCAGGAGCAGAGCAGAUGGCAAUCCUUUGCUCAUUCUAGCUUGACAUCUGGCUUGGUGGCCAAAGCCGUUUUAUGCCUAGGAUACACAG
Small nucleolar RNA from Mus pahari (shrew mouse), 147 nucleotides. RefSeq annotates it as small nucleolar RNA SNORA48. The transcript has a single exon. Lineage: Eukaryota; Metazoa; Chordata; Mammalia; Rodentia; Muridae. The record is from RefSeq and is a predicted model, not a curated record.